This 597-nucleotide ribosomal RNA is filed under the name uncultured bacterium. Its description in RNAcentral is "bacterial SSU rRNA". It matches the Rfam family "Bacterial small subunit ribosomal RNA", at positions 56 to 646 of the family's 1533-position model. The record is from RNAcentral.
UGCAAGUCGAACGGCAGCACGGGAGCAAUCCUGGUGGCGAGUGGCGAACGGGUGAGUAAUAUAUCGGAACGUGCCCAGUCGUGGGGGAUAACGUAGCGAAAGCUACGCUAAUACCGCAUACGAUCUACGGAUGAAAGCGGGGGACUCGCAAGAGCCUCGCGCGAUUGGAGCGGCCGAUAUCAGAUUAGGUUGUUGGUGAGGUAAAAGCUCACCAAGCCUGCGAUCUGUAGCUGGUCUGAGAGGACGACCAGCCACACUGGAACUGAGACACGGUCCAGACUCCUACGGGAGGCAGCAGUGGGGAAUUUUGGACAAUGGACGCAAGUCUGAUCCAGCAAUGCCGCGUGCAGGACGAAGGCCUUCGGGUUGUAAACUGCUUUUGUACGGAACGAAACGGUCUGCUUUAAUACAGUGGGCUAAUGACGGUACCGUAAGAAUAAGCACCGGCUAACUACGUGCCAGCAGCCGCGGUAAUACGUAGGGUGCGAGCGUUAAUCGGAAUUACUGGGCGUAAAGCGUGCGCAGGCGGAUAUAUAAGUCAGAUGUGAAAUCCCCGGGCUUCAACUGGGAACUGCAUUUGAGACUGUAUAGCUUAGA